UACGUAGGGUGCUAGCGUUAUCCGGAUUUACUGGGCGUAAAGGGUGCGUAGGUGGUCUUUCAAGUCGGUGGUUAAAGCCUACGGCUCAACCGUAUUAAGCCGCCGAAACUGGAAGACUUGAGUGCAUGAGAGGAAAGCGGAAUUCUCGGUGUAGCGGUGAAAUGCGUAGAUAUUGAGAAGAACACCAGUAGCGAAGGCGGCUUACUAGACUGGAACUGACACUGAGGUACGAAAGCGUGGGGAGCAAACAGG
Molecule: ribosomal RNA, 252 nt
Filed under: uncultured bacterium
Lineage: Bacteria
Description: partial 16S ribosomal RNA
Rfam family: Bacterial small subunit ribosomal RNA
Source: RNAcentral